GUGUUCUAUGAAAGGAGAGAAGGGUAGCACUCCCCUUGACAAGAAUGGAGGGGACCCUUGGGCCUGGCAACUAUUAACGCAUUGCCACCUACUUCCAAGGACAUUUUAUU
Molecule: small nuclear RNA, 110 nt
Organism: Nomascus leucogenys (northern white-cheeked gibbon)
Lineage: Eukaryota; Metazoa; Chordata; Mammalia; Primates; Hylobatidae
Source: Ensembl